RNAcentral lists this long non-coding RNA (429 nucleotides) under Helianthus annuus (common sunflower). Its description in RNAcentral is "sRNA HanXRQr2_Chr01g0027071". Lineage: Eukaryota; Viridiplantae; Streptophyta; Magnoliopsida; Asterales; Asteraceae. The record is from RNAcentral.
UUGAAACAUACCUGAACAGAGACCCGAUACUACAUGAGAGAGAAGAAAGGAUCGAAUACCAUUAAAGAAGAAAAUUUGAGAAUGCCAAGACGAAGAAAAGGAGAAUGAGGGGAUGGGAGAAUAGAAACCGUCGCUAACUGCGUGAUUGCAGGAGAGUCCGCGAAACCUCCAUCAAAACUGCAGCUUCUAGAAGAAAAUUUUGAUUUUAAAAAGUCAGGAUUAAAAGUUAAGCACUUUGAAUGGAUUAAAAGUUAAGCACUUUGAAUGGUCAAGAUAAACCCAUAAAAAGAGUUAAUUUUAAUGGGAACAUACAAAUAUAUAAUUUCGUAAACUAAUUUAACUUUCUUGGUAAUUUGCUCUUCCAACACAACCCGACCCGCUUUGGACCUGAAACUAUUCCCGUUACCCAACCAGCCUGACCCACCCAGG